Molecule: ribosomal RNA, 253 nt
Filed under: uncultured bacterium
Lineage: Bacteria
Description: partial 16S ribosomal RNA
Rfam family: Bacterial small subunit ribosomal RNA
Source: RNAcentral
UACGAAGGGGGCUAGCGUUGCUCGGAAUCACUGGGCGUAAAGCGCACGUAGGCGGCUUUUUAAGUCAGAGGUGAAAUCCUGGAGCUCAACUCCAGAACUGCCUUUGAUACUGAGAAGCUUGAGUCCGGGAGAGGUGAGUGGAACUGCGGGUGUAGAGGUGAAAUUCGUAGAUAUUCGCAAGAACACCAGUGGCGAAGGCGGCUCACUGGUCCGGUACUGACGCUGAGGUGCGAAAGCGUGGGGAGCAAACAGG